Molecule: ribosomal RNA, 422 nt
Filed under: uncultured bacterium
Lineage: Bacteria
Description: partial 16S ribosomal RNA
Rfam family: Bacterial small subunit ribosomal RNA
Source: RNAcentral
AAUUUUGGACAAUGGGGGAAACCCUGAUACAGCCAUACCGCGUGGAUGAUGAAGGCCUUCGGGUUGUAACGUACUUUUGGCCGAGAAGACAAGGUAUCUCCUAAUACGAGAUACUGCUGACGGUAUCUGCAGAAUAAGCACCGGCUAACUACGUGCCAGCAGCCGCGGUAAUGCGUAGGGUGCAAGCGUUAAUCGGAAUUACUGGGCGUAAAGCGUGUGUAGGCGGUUCGGAAAGAAAGAUGUGAAAACCCAGGGCUCAAACUUGGAACUGCAGUUUUAACUGCCGCGCUAGAGUAUGUCAGAGGUGGGUAGAAUUCGACGUGUAGCAGUGAAAUGCGUAGAUAUGUGGAGGAAUACCGAUGGCGAAGGCAGCCCCCUGGGAUAAUACUGACGCUCAGACACGAAAGCGUGGGGAGCAAACA